AUUGAACGCUGGCGGCAGGCUUAACACAUGCAAGUCGAGCGGGGGAAGGUAGCUUGCUACUGGACCUAGCGGCGGACGGGUGAGUAAUGCUUAGGAAUCUGCCUAUUAGUGGGGGACAACAUCUCGAAAGGGAUGCUAAUACCGCAUACGUCCUACGGGAGAAAGCAGGGGAUCUUCGGACCUUGCGCUAAUAGAUGAGCCUAAGUCGGAUUAGCUAGUUGGUGGGGUAAAGGCCUACCAAGGCGACGAUCUGUAGCGGGUCUGAGAGGAUGAUCCGCCACACUGGGACUGAGACACGGCCCAGACUCCUACGGGAGGCAGCAGUGGGGAAUAUUGGACAAUGGGGGGAACCCUGAUCCAGCCAUGCCGCGUGUGUGAAGAAGGCCUUAUGGUUGUAAAGCACUUUAGGCGAGGAGGAGGCUACUUUAGUUAAUACCUAGAGAUAGUGGACGUUACUCGCAGAAUAAGCGCCGGCUAACUCUGUGCCAGCAGCCGCGGUAAUACAGAGGGUGCGAGCGUUAAUCGGAUUUACUGGGCGUAAAGCGUGCGUAGGCGGCUUAUUAAGUCGGAUGUGAAAUCCCCGAGCUUAACUUGGGAAUUGCAUUCGAUACUGGUGAGCUAGAGUAUGGGAGAGGAUGGUAGAAUUCCAGGUGUAGCGGUGAAAUGCGUAGAGAUCUGGAGGAAUACCGAUGGCGAAAGCAGCCAUCUGGCCUAAUACUGAC
This 722-nucleotide ribosomal RNA is filed under the name Acinetobacter baumannii OIFC032. Its description in RNAcentral is "bacterial SSU rRNA". It matches the Rfam family "Bacterial small subunit ribosomal RNA", at positions 28 to 744 of the family's 1533-position model. The record is from RNAcentral. Lineage: Bacteria; Pseudomonadati; Pseudomonadota; Gammaproteobacteria; Moraxellales; Moraxellaceae.